UGAUUGCUUCAUAAUCAGUAAGGCCUGCUCAAUGAGAAUUAAAUAGCCGCGAUUACGUGCUAAGGUAGCAUAAUAAAUUGCCUUUUUAUUGAAGGCUAGAAUGAAAGGCUCUACAAAUAAAAUUCUUUAUUGAUUUUAUUUCUUUAAACUAAUCUAUAAAUAAAAAAGUUUAUAUAUGUAAGGAGGACGACAAGACCCUAUCGAGCUUUACUAAAGUUUCACUGGGGAGGUGAGGAAAAAAAUCCUUUUUUUCUUCUAAGAAAGGAUAAUUCAGAAAGAAUUAUGAACUAGCUACCGUAGGGAUAACAGCACAAUUAAUUUUAGGAGAUCUUAUCUUAAAAUUAGAUUAUGACCUCGAUGUUGAAUUAAAGUACCUAUGGGAGAAAAAGCUUAAAAGGAAAGUCUGUUCGACUUUUAAAACUUU
Molecule: ribosomal RNA, 424 nt
Filed under: Conothele sp. MYG531
Lineage: Eukaryota; Metazoa; Arthropoda; Arachnida; Araneae; Ctenizidae
Description: partial 16S ribosomal RNA
Rfam family: Bacterial large subunit ribosomal RNA
Source: RNAcentral